ACUUGAAAGAAUAUACUAAAAUAUUCUAGAUAAAUAAUUUGAUUAUGACAUAUUUUAUCUAUAAGUCUUGACAAAUUCACGUGCCAGCAGUCGCGGUAAAACGUGGUAGACAAGUGUUAUUCGUCUUAAAUAGGUUUAUGGGGUACGUAGACAGUUGAUUAAGUCUAAUAAAAGAUACUAAUUAUACUAGAGUUUUAUGUAAAAAGGUAGUACGGUUAGUGUAAGGAUAAAAUACAUUGAUACAACUUCGAAACUGGUAAAAGCAAAAGCAAUCUUUUAUGUAAAAACUGACGUUAAGGGACGAAGGCUUAAUUAAUGAAUAGGAUUAGGAACCCUAGUAAUGCUAGCAGACAAUGAUGAAUGCCAUAUAUAAGAUAUAUAAUAUUUUAUGUAUAAAUGAAAGUGGAAGCAUUUCACCUCGAGAGUAAUACGGCAACGUAGGAACUGAAAUCAUUAGACCGUUUCUGAGACCAGUAGUGAAGUAUGUUAUUUAAUUUGAUGAUCCACAAAAAAUCUUACCACAAUUUGUAUAAUAAACACAAGUGUUGCACGGCUGUCUAAAGCUAAUGUUGUGAAACUAUGGUUAGAUCCAUGAAAUUAGCGUAAACCCUUACCUUUUUUUAUAAAAGGUAGUUCGUUUAUAAAUUGAUUAUGAUAUAAGGGACUAAGACAAGUCAUCAUGACCUGAAUAUUGUGGGCUAU
RNAcentral lists this ribosomal RNA (702 nucleotides) under Coenogonium pineti. Its description in RNAcentral is "SSU rRNA". It matches the Rfam family "Bacterial small subunit ribosomal RNA", at positions 423 to 1217 of the family's 1533-position model. The record is from RNAcentral. Lineage: Eukaryota; Fungi; Ascomycota; Lecanoromycetes; Ostropales; Coenogoniaceae.